This 324-nucleotide unclassified non-coding RNA is filed under the name uncultured fungus. RNAcentral describes it as "partial contains 5.8S ribosomal RNA and internal transcribed spacer 2". The stretch from base 1 to 133 matches the Rfam family "5.8S ribosomal RNA", at positions 22 to 154 of the family's 154-position model. Lineage: Eukaryota; Fungi. The record is from RNAcentral.
UGGUUCUGGCAUCGAUGAAGAACGCAGCGAAAUGCGAUAAGUAAUGUGAAUUGCAGAAUUCAGUGAAUCAUCGAAUCUUUGAACGCACAUUGCGCCCACUAGUAUUCUGGUGGGCAUGCCUGUUCGAGCGUCAUUUCAACCCUUAAGCCCCUGUUGCUUAGUGUUGGGAGUCUACGGUAUAGCAGCUCCUGAAAGUGAGUGGCGGAGUCGGUUCACGCUUCAGACGUAGUAGAUUUUAUCUCGCCUGUAGUCGGAUCGGCCUCCUGCCGUAAAACCCCCCUAUUUCUAAAGGUUGACCUCGGAUCAGGUAGGAAUACCCGCUGA